This 298-nucleotide ribosomal RNA is filed under the name uncultured Bacteriovorax sp. Its description in RNAcentral is "partial 16S ribosomal RNA". It matches the Rfam family "Bacterial small subunit ribosomal RNA", at positions 29 to 334 of the family's 1533-position model. The record is from RNAcentral. Lineage: Bacteria; Pseudomonadati; Bdellovibrionota; Bacteriovoracia; Bacteriovoracales; Bacteriovoracaceae.
AAUGAACGCUGGCGGCGUGCUUAACACAUGCAAGUCGAACGAGAAAGUACCUUCGGGUGCGAGUAGAGUGGCGCACGGGUGAGUAACACGUAGGUAAUCUGCCUUUUGGUGGGGGAUAACCAGGAGAAAUCCUGGCUAAUACCGCAUAAGUAAGUAAUUAGAAAGGAUGCUCCGGCAUUCGCCGAAAGAUGAGCCUGCGGGACAUUAGUUUGAUGGUGGGGUAAUGGCCUACCAUGGCUUCGAUGUCUAGCUGGUCUGAGAGGAUGAUCAGCCACACUGGAACUGAGACACGGUCCAG